This 277-nucleotide long non-coding RNA is filed under the name Ananas comosus (pineapple). Its description in RNAcentral is "long non-coding RNA (ACOM_LNC035971)". Lineage: Eukaryota; Viridiplantae; Streptophyta; Magnoliopsida; Poales; Bromeliaceae. The record is from RNAcentral.
AUAAAGAAAAUCAAAACAAAUUUAAAAUACAUAAAUAUUUUAUUCUGUAUAUAUUUACAUAAAUAUUUUAUUCUGUAUAUAUUUGAAUUUUAUUUUAUUUACAUUAAAUAGGUGUGGAUUGUAAGCGUUAACUAACUAUUUCAAAGCACGAUAGUGUUCAUUGGUUUCAAUCUGACUCAGCCCACCUAGAUGUUAGGUUUAUUGUUUGGCCUCUUGCUGUUAGGUUGACUAUGGACCCCAACCCCACUCAACUUAUUGGGCUCACCCAAUUCAACUU